Long non-coding RNA from Homo sapiens (human), 504 nucleotides. The record is from Ensembl. Lineage: Eukaryota; Metazoa; Chordata; Mammalia; Primates; Hominidae.
ACGGCAGCUGGCCAAUCAAGGUGUUCGUAUGCAGCGAAGGAAGUAACCAAUCAAUUUUUUAAUUUCCUUCUGUAAACGGGAGUGAAUCGGGGUGGAUUUGAAAUCUCAUUAGUCAAAAGCAUACUGUUGGCAUUGAAUCUGUGCCAAAAAUGCCAGCCAUCAAGGGAGAAAGCACAAGCUAAGAAGGUGAAGUAAUUGAAAGCGCCCCUUUCUUUUCACUCUGAUCUGAAAUUACAACAGGCUGAGUGGAGCGGGAAUGAGCCUGUGUGUUGCUCAAGCUGUGAAGAGCCAAGUUACAGAAGAGGUAGAGGAAAUAUGACAGGGCUCAAACAACGGCUGCUGAAUUAUAAUAUUUCUGAAGGCCCUAAAGUAUGCUCUUUCUUCCCUCACCCCCUUGCCCCUGAGCCAGUCAGGGAUGAGACUGGCAGAGCACUACUACUACAUCCCUUCUGCUUUCUGUCAUAAACCUGGAACACUCUAGCAUGAUUAAAGAGAUUCAAACAA